GUCCUUUGUGGCUGCAUUACCAUGCAGUCGACGGCAGCACGGGUGCUUGCACCUGGUGGCGAGUGGCGAACGGGUGAGUAAUACAUCGGAACAUGUCCUGUAGUGGGGGAUAGCCCGGCGAAAGCCGGAUUAAUACCGCAUACGAUCUACGGAUGAAAGCGGGGGACCUUCGGGCCUCGCGCUAUAGGGUUGGCCGAUGGCUGAUUAGCUAGUUGGUGGGGUAAAGGCCUACCAAGGCGACGAUCAGUAGCUGGUCUGAGAGGACGACCAGCCACACUGGGACUGAGACACGGCCCAGACUCCUACGGGAGGCAGCAGUGGGGAAUUUUGGACAAUGGGCGAAAGCCUGAUCCAGCAAUGCCGCGUGUGUGAAGAAGGCCUUCGGGUUGUAAAGCACUUUUGUCCGGAAAGAAAUCCUUGGCUCUAAUACAGUCGGGGGAUGACGGUACCGGAAGAAUAAGCACCGGCUAACUACGUGCCAGCAGCCGCGGUAAUACGUAGGGUGCAAGCGUUAAUCGGAAUUACUGGGCGUAAAGCGUGCGCAGGCGGUUUGCUAAGACCGAUGUGAAAUCCCCGGGCUCAACCUGGGAACUGCAUUGGUGACUGGCAGGCUAGAGUAUGGCAGAGGGGGGUAGAAUUCCACGUGUAGCAGUGAAAUGCGUAGAGAUGUGGAGGAAUACCGAUGGCGAAGGCAGCCCCCUGGGCCAAUACUGACGCUCAUGCACGAAAGCGUGGGGAGCAAACAGGAUUAGAUACCCUGGUAGUCCACGCCCUAAACGAUGUCAACUAGUUGUUGGGGAUUCAUUUCCUUAGUAACGUAGCUACGCGUGAAGUUGACCGCCUGGGGAGUACGGUCGCAAGAUUAAAACUCAAGGAAUUGACGGGGACCCGCACAAGCGGUGGAUGAUGUGGAUUAAUUCGAUGCACGCGAAAAACCUUACCUACCCUUGACAUGGUCGGAAUCCUGCUGAGAGUGGAGUGCUCGAAAGAGAACCGACGCACAGGUGCUGCAUGGCUGUCGUCAGCCUCGUGUCGUGAGAUGUUGGGUUAAGUCCCGCAACG
RNAcentral lists this ribosomal RNA (1062 nucleotides) under Burkholderia cepacia. RNAcentral describes it as "bacterial SSU rRNA". It matches the Rfam family "Bacterial small subunit ribosomal RNA", at positions 32 to 1094 of the family's 1533-position model. The record is from RNAcentral. Lineage: Bacteria; Pseudomonadati; Pseudomonadota; Betaproteobacteria; Burkholderiales; Burkholderiaceae.